GCGGCCUAUCAGCUUGUUGGUGAGGUAAUGGCUCGCCAAGGCGACGACGGGUAGCCGGCCUGAGAGGGUGACCGGCCACACUGGGACUGAGACACGGCCCAGACUCCUACGGGAGGCAGCAGUGGGGAAUAUUGCACAAUGGGCGAAAGCCUGAUGCAGCGACGCCGCGUGAGGGAUGACGGCCUUCGGGUUGUAAACCUCUUUCGCCAGGGACGAAGCGCAAGUGACGGUACCUGGAUAAGAAGCACCGGCUAACUACGUGCCAGCAGCCGCGGUAAUACGUAGGGUGCGAGCGUUGUCCGGAUUUAUUGGGCGUAAUGAGCUCGUAGGCGGUUUGUCGCGUCGGCCGUGAAAUCUCCACGCUUAACGUGGAGCGUGCGGUCGAUACGGGCAGACUUGAGUUCGGUAGGGGAGACUGGAAUUCCUGGUGUAGCGGUGAAAUGCGCAGAUAUCAGGAGGAACACCGGUGGCGAAGGCGGGUCUCUGGGCCGAUACUGACGCUGAGGAGCGAAAGCGUGGGGAGCGAACAGGAUUAGAUACCCUGGUAGUCCACGCUGUAAACGUUGGGCGCUAGGUGCGGGCGACAUCCACGUUGUCCGUGCCGUAGCUAACGCAUUAAGCGCCCCGCCUGGGGAGUACGG
This 641-nucleotide ribosomal RNA is filed under the name uncultured bacterium. Its description in RNAcentral is "bacterial SSU rRNA". It matches the Rfam family "Bacterial small subunit ribosomal RNA", at positions 233 to 885 of the family's 1533-position model. The record is from RNAcentral.